CGUCGAUAUGUUGAACUU
RNAcentral lists this small nuclear RNA (18 nucleotides) under Arabidopsis thaliana (thale cress). RNAcentral's name for it is "snRNA_17690". The record is from RNAcentral. Lineage: Eukaryota; Viridiplantae; Streptophyta; Magnoliopsida; Brassicales; Brassicaceae.